GGGGUUGUGGCUCAGUGGUAGAGCGCUCGCCUCUCAUGUGCGAGACCCUGGGUUUGAUCCUCAGCACCACA
Molecule: transfer RNA, 71 nt
Filed under: Marmota monax (woodchuck)
Lineage: Eukaryota; Metazoa; Chordata; Mammalia; Rodentia; Sciuridae
Description: tRNA.Glu
Rfam family: tRNA
About the family: Transfer RNA (tRNA) molecules are approximately 80 nucleotides in length. Their secondary structure includes four short double-helical elements and three loops (D, anti-codon, and T loops). Further hydrogen bonds mediate the characteristic L-shaped molecular structure. tRNAs have two regions of fundamental functional importance: the anti-codon, which is responsible for specific mRNA codon recognition, and the 3' end, to which the tRNAs corresponding amino acid is attached (by aminoacyl-tRNA synthetases). tRNAs cope with the degeneracy of the genetic code in two manners: having more than one tRNA (with a specific anti-codon) for a particular amino acid; and 'wobble' base-pairing, i.e. permitting non-standard base-pairing at the 3rd anti-codon position.
Source: RNAcentral